RNAcentral lists this ribosomal RNA (492 nucleotides) under uncultured bacterium. RNAcentral's name for it is "partial 16S ribosomal RNA". It matches the Rfam family "Bacterial small subunit ribosomal RNA", at positions 29 to 507 of the family's 1533-position model. The record is from RNAcentral.
AGUGAACGCUGGCGGUAGGCCUAACACAUGCAAGUCGAACGGCAGCACAGUAAGAGCUUGCUCUUACGGGUGGCGAGUGGCGGACGGGUGAGGAAUACAUCGGAAUCUACUUUUUCGUGGGGGAUAACGUAGGGAAACUUACGCUAAUACCGCAUACGACCUACGGGUGAAAGCAGGGGAUCUUCGGACCUUGCGCGAUUGAAUGAGCCGAUGUCGGAUUAGCUAGUUGGCGGGGUAAAGGCCCACCAAGGCGACGAUCCGUAGCUGGUCUGAGAGGAUGAUGAGGCAAACUGGAACUGAGACACGGUCCAGACUCCUACGGGAGGCAGCAGUGGGGAAUAUUGGACAAUGGGCGCAAGCCUGAUCCAGCCAUACCGCGUGGGUGAAGAAGGCCUUCGGGUUGUAAAGCCCUUUUGUUGGGAAAGAAAAGCAGCAGGUUAAUACCCCGCUGUUCUGACGGUACCCAAAGAAUAAGCACCGGCUAACUUCGUG